Molecule: ribosomal RNA, 468 nt
Filed under: uncultured bacterium
Lineage: Bacteria
Description: partial 16S ribosomal RNA
Rfam family: Bacterial small subunit ribosomal RNA
Source: RNAcentral
GACGAACGCUGGCGGCGUGCUUAACACAUGCAAGUCGAACGGAAAGGCCCUGCUUUUGUGGGGUGCUCGAGUGGCGAACGGGUGAGUAACACGUGAGUAACCUGCCCUUGACUUUGGGAUAACUUCAGGAAACUGGGGCUAAUACCGGAUAGGAGCUCCUGCUGCAUGGUGGGGGUUGGAAAGUUUCGGCGGUUGGGGAUGGACUCGCGGCUUAUCAGCUUGUUGGUGGGGUAGUGGCUUACCAAGGCUUUGACGGGUAGCCGGCCUGAGAGGGUGACCGGCCACAUUGGGACUGAGAUACGGGCCAGACUCCUACGGGAGGCAGCAGUGGGGAAUAUUGCACAAUGGGCGGAAGCCUGAUGCAGCAAUGCCGCGUGCGGGAUGACGGCCUUCGGGUUGUAAACCGCUUUCGCCUGUGACGAAGCGUGAGUGACGGUAAUGGGUAAAGAAGCACCGGCUAACUACGUG